RNAcentral lists this ribosomal RNA (537 nucleotides) under Celeribacter sp. Its description in RNAcentral is "bacterial SSU rRNA". It matches the Rfam family "Bacterial small subunit ribosomal RNA", at positions 129 to 701 of the family's 1533-position model. The record is from RNAcentral. Lineage: Bacteria; Pseudomonadati; Pseudomonadota; Alphaproteobacteria; Rhodobacterales; Roseobacteraceae.
CCCUUCACUACGGAAUAGUCCCGGGAAACUGGGUUUAAUACCGUAUACGCCCUUCGGGGGAAAGAAUUUCGGUGAGGGAUCGGCCCGCGUUAGAUUAGUUAGUUGGUGGGGUAAUGGCCUACCAAGACUACGAUCUAUAGCUGGUUUGAGAGGAUGAUCAGCAACACUGGGACUGAGACACGGCCCAGACUCCUACGGGAGGCAGCAGUGGGGAAUCUUAGACAAUGGGGGCAACCCUGAUCUAGCGAUGCCGCGUGAGUGAUGAAGGCCUUAGGGUCGUAAAGCUCUUUCGCCUGUGAUGAUAAUGACAGUAGCAGGUAAAGAAACCCCGGCUAACUCCGUGCCAGCAGCCGCGGUAAUACGGAGGGGGUUAGCGUUGUUCGGAAUUACUGGGCGUAAAGCGCACGUAGGCGGAUUAGUCAGUCAGAGGUGAAAUCCCAGGGCUCAACCCUGGAACUGCCUUUGAUACUGCUAGUCUUGAGUUCGAGAGAGGUAAGUGGAAUUCCGAGUGUAGAGGUGAAAUUCGUAGAUAUUCGG